AGUGGGGAAUAUUGCACGAAUGGGCGCAAGCCUGAUGCAGCCAUGCCGCGUGUAUGAAGAAGGCCUUCGGGUGUAAAGGUACUUUCAGCAGUGAGGAAGGUGGGUAUGUUAAUAGCAUACUCAUUUGACGUUAGCUGCAGAAGAAGCACCGGCUAACUCCGUGCCAGCAGCCGCGGUAAUACGGAGGGUGCGAGCGUUAAUCGGAAUUACUGGGCGUAAAGCGCAUGCAGGUGGUUUGUUAAGUCAGAUGUGAAAGCCCGGGGCUCAACCUCGGAAUUGCAUUUGAAACUGGCAAACUAGAGUACUGUAGAGGGGGUAGAAUUUCAGGUGUAGCGGUGAAAUGCGUAGAGAUCUGAAGGAAUACCGGUGGCGAAGGCGGCCCCCUGGACAGAUACUGACACUCAGAUGCGAAAGCGUGGGGAGCAAACAGGAUUAGAUACCCUGGUAG
Molecule: ribosomal RNA, 448 nt
Filed under: uncultured bacterium
Lineage: Bacteria
Description: bacterial SSU rRNA
Rfam family: Bacterial small subunit ribosomal RNA
Source: RNAcentral